RNAcentral lists this ribosomal RNA (490 nucleotides) under uncultured bacterium. Its description in RNAcentral is "partial 16S ribosomal RNA". It matches the Rfam family "Bacterial small subunit ribosomal RNA", at positions 28 to 507 of the family's 1533-position model. The record is from RNAcentral.
GAUGAACGCUAGCUACAGGCUUAACACAUGCAAGUCGCGGGGCAGCAUGGGGGUUGCUUGCAAUCCCCGAUGGCGACCGGCGCACGGGUGAGUAACGCGUAUCCAACCUGCCCUUCACCACGGGAUAACCCGGCGAAAGUCGGACUAAUACCGUAUGUUGUCCAUUGACGGCAUCCGAUUUGGACGAAAGGUUUGGCGGUGAAGGAUGGGGAUGCGUCCGAUUAGCUGGACGGCGGGGUGACGGCCCACCGUGGCGACGAUCGGUAGGGGUUCUGAGAGGAAGGUCCCCCACACUGGUACUGAGACACGGUCCAGACUCCUACGGGAGGCAGCAGUGAGGAAUAUUGGUCAAUGGGCGUAAGCCUGAACCAGCCAAGUAGCGUGCAGGAUGACGGCCCUAUGGGUUGUAAACUGCUUUUAUGCGGGGAUAAAGUGGCCCACGUGUGGGUUUUUGCAGGUACCGCAUGAAUAAGGACCGGCUAAUUCCGUG